Molecule: ribosomal RNA, 492 nt
Filed under: uncultured bacterium
Lineage: Bacteria
Description: partial 16S ribosomal RNA
Rfam family: Bacterial small subunit ribosomal RNA
Source: RNAcentral
AGUGAACGCUGGCGGUAGGCCUAACACAUGCAAGUCGAACGGCAGCACAGUAAGAGCUUGCUCUUACGGGUGGCGAGUGGCGGACGGGUGAGGAAUACAUCGUAAUCUACUUUUUCGUGGGGGAUAACGUAGGGAAACUUACGCUAAUACCGCAUACGACCUACGGGUGAAAGCAGGGGAUCUUCGGACCUUGCGCGAUUGAAUGAGCCGAUGUCGGAUUAGCUAGUUGGCGGGGUAAAGGCCCACCAAGGCGACGCUCCGUAGCUGGUCUGAGAGGAUGAUCAGCCACCCUGGAACUGAGACACGGUCCAGACUCCUACGGGAGGCAGCAGUGGGGAAUAUUGGACAAUGGGCGCAAGCCUGAUCCAGCCAUACCGCGUGGGUGAAGAAGGCCUUCGGGUUGUAAAGCCCUUUUGUUGGGAAAGAAAAGCAGCAGGUUAAUACCCCGCUGUUCUGACGGUACCCAAAGAAUAAGCACCGGCUAACUUCGUG